Hypomesus transpacificus is the source of this 1109-nucleotide long non-coding RNA. RefSeq lists it as uncharacterized. The transcript has 2 exons. The record is from RefSeq and is a predicted model, not a curated record. Lineage: Eukaryota; Metazoa; Chordata; Actinopteri; Osmeriformes; Osmeridae.
GGUAAAGGGAAUGCAGAGCGAGAGCUCUUACAUAGCUGUGUGUUCAGACUGCACACUCUCUCGUGGGGAAGUCUACAAUCUCUGCUGUGAUGUGGAGGGAUAUAAGAUCCAACCUAAGGUAAACUCACUCACCAUAAAAUAAUAAUGUUGUCUGAUGAUGUCACAUUAGGAUCAACACAACCUUUAUAUUAUCUGAGUUUGUUUUCUUACUAAUUUGGUUCCCUUAAAACAUUCUUAUCUUAUUAACCACUGGCCUAGACUCGUCCAAACCUGACAGAUGGUUGUAAAUGGUUCAGAUUUAGCUGCUCUCAUCUGUAUUCCAGGAUGUUGUGGUCCACUGGAACUACGGUCCAAACUACCACCCCACCUUCCAGGUGUUUCUGAGCACCGACACAAAGGAGGUGGAGCUGAGGCUUCUGGAGGGAGGGGGAGAAGGAGAGAAGGUGUGGGCAGCAUGCGUUCCACUAAGAGGUUCCUCAUCAGGCAGGCUGACUGAGCACGCUCAGAAACGCUCUGCAGAGGAUCAGCUGCGCUCUACAAGACGGGAGUUUCUGGAGCGAGUGUCCAUGCCUGUCCUGAAUGAUCUGCUGGAUGGACUUCUGCAGGAGGGAGUGAUCAACGAUGCUGAGAUGGAGGAAGUGAAGGCGGAGGCAGUGAGGAAGGACAGAGCACGGGUCACCAUCGACAUGGUCCUGAGGAAAGGAUCUCUCCCAUGUUCUGUGAUGAAAGCUUUGUUGGCUCAAGAUGACCCUGCCUUAUACAAAACUCUUGGCUUCCAAUGAAACAUGCUGAGAACAGUGUCAGACCUAGGAGGAGUGUGUCACACCAGUGUUUCACCCUAGUAGGGAAUACACUGUAUGUACAGAUAUAUUCAUUACAAUUAAAUACAGCUUAAUGAAAUAUGAAUUUGCCAUAUACUUACACAUGGUAUGUUUAUGUACAUCGGAACUAUAUUGUUGGAAUCAUUGAAAUACUCUUAUUCUUGUUUUAUAUUGUUUUACCCUGGGUACAUACAAAUACACUUUCUCAUUCAAAUCUAAAUUGAUCUGAAAUCUAUGUAUUUUUAUAAAAACCUAAAAUAAAACCUAAAAUAUGUUCUUUAUUUCUGC